UACGUAGGGUGCGAGCGUUAAUCGGAUUUACUGGGCGUAAAGCGUGCGCAGGCGGCCCGUUAAGACAGGUGUGAAAUCCCUGGGCUCAACCUAGGAAUUGCGCUUGUGACUGGCGGGCUCGAGUACGGUAGAGGGGGGUGGAAUUCCUGGUGUAGCAGUGAAAUGCGUAGAGAUCAGGAGGGACACCGAUGGCGAAGGCAGCCCCCUGGGCCUGUACUGACGCUCAUGCACGAAAGCGUGGGGAGCAAACAGG
This 253-nucleotide ribosomal RNA is filed under the name uncultured microorganism. RNAcentral's name for it is "partial 16S ribosomal RNA". It matches the Rfam family "Bacterial small subunit ribosomal RNA", at positions 524 to 776 of the family's 1533-position model. The record is from RNAcentral.